CUUGAUUGGAGCGACUAUUUCUUUCUUCAUUAUAUGCCAGUUAUGCUGCGAAACCAGAGAAAGUGGCCUCAAGUGCCAGCUUCCUGCAGGGAAUUGAUAGAUGAAUAUGGCAGAGAAGUGGUUAGACUUGGCGGAAAACUGAUGAGUGUAUUCUCCAAGAACCUUGGCCUGGAAGAGGACUAUCUUCUAAACGCUUUUGGGGGUGAAGAGAACGUUGGUGCUUGCUUGAGGGUGAAUUUCUACCCUAAGUGUCCCCAACCAGACCUUGCACUAGGUCUCUCACCACACUCCGAUCCAGGUGGCUUCACCAUUCUCCAGCCAGAUGAAAAUGUCGCCGGACUACAAGUCCGUCGAGGUGAAAGUUGGGUUACCGUUAAGCCAGUCCCAAAUGCCUUCAUUAU
This 401-nucleotide unclassified non-coding RNA is filed under the name Hevea brasiliensis (rubber tree). Lineage: Eukaryota; Viridiplantae; Streptophyta; Magnoliopsida; Malpighiales; Euphorbiaceae. The record is from RNAcentral.